ACGAACGCUGGCGGCGUGCCUAAUACAUGCAAGUCGAGCGGAAUGAUGAAGAAGCUUGCUUCUUCUGAUUUUAGCGGCGGACGGGUGAGUAACACGUGGGCAACCUACCUUGUAGAUUGGGAUAACUCCGGGAAACCGGGGCUAAUACCGAAUAAUCCAUUUUGCUUCAUGGCGAGGUGUUGAAAGACGGUUUCGGCUGUCAUUAUAAGAUGGGCCCGCGGCGCAUUAGCUAGUUGGUAGGGUAAUGGCCUACCAAGGCGACGAUGCGUAGCCGACCUGAGAGGGUGAUCGGCCACACUGGGACUGAGACACGGCCCAGACUCCUACGGGAGGCAGCAGUAGGGAAUCUUCCACAAUGGACGAAAGUCUGAUGGAGCAACGCCGCGUGAGUGAAGAAGGUUUUCGGAUCGUAAAACUCUGUUGUGAGGGAAGAACACGUACGAGAGUAACUGCUCGUACCUUGACGGUACCUUAUUAGAAAGCCACGGCUAACUACGUG
This 499-nucleotide ribosomal RNA is filed under the name uncultured bacterium. Its description in RNAcentral is "bacterial SSU rRNA". It matches the Rfam family "Bacterial small subunit ribosomal RNA", at positions 29 to 507 of the family's 1533-position model. The record is from RNAcentral.